Molecule: long non-coding RNA, 1170 nt
Organism: Balaenoptera acutorostrata (minke whale)
Lineage: Eukaryota; Metazoa; Chordata; Mammalia; Artiodactyla; Balaenopteridae
Exons: 5
Source: RefSeq, a predicted model, not a curated record
UGGUGUCUGUUUAGAAGCAAGCGGAGUAAAACGCUGAGGAAAUAUCGAGAGGCAAUGUGACAGGGGACAGUCGCGUGCGGAGUAGGUGCCUCAGGAAUAUUUUGAAUAGGAUGGCACUGGAGACUCUGCUGCCUUGGAGGAGUUUUUAUGCUAAUUAAGGUAUAAGAAUGGCAGUGGAAUUAUCAGAAGGGCCUUUGAUAAUGAUACUUCUGCUUGUCCAAAACAAGAAUACUCAUGCAGCAGGAAAGUUGUCAGGAGCCGCCCUCGUCCCUCGAGGGAGCGCAGCGCACGCAGGACAUCGCACCCGGACGCUCGCCUCCGCCGCCUAAGAGAGGACUGGAUUUUACAAAACAUGAGUUUUACAUUUAAGAGAACACAGAAAAUACCUCAAGCAAGAUGACACCAACCUGAAAACUUAACUCUGUGAUCCCAUCCAGGACACCACUUACAAUGAGUUGUCAUGUCUUCUUAGGCUCUAAGAAGAUGUUUUUGAUGACCUUGACACUUCACGAUGCUGGUCAGGUGUAUUGCAGAAUGUCCCUCAAUUUGGGUUUGCCUAAUGUUUUUCUCAUGGUUAGACUGGGGUUAUAGGUUUUUUGGGGUGAAAACUACAGGAGUAAAGCACUGUUCUCAGCACUUCCUAUCAAGGGUACAUGCUGUCAACAUGACAUAACACAGAUGGCGUUUAACCCUGGCUGAGGUAGCAUCUGCCAGGUUUCUUGGCUGUAAAGUUACUUUCCCUUCUCUUUCUAUGUUGUAUUCUUUGGAAGCAAGGCACUAAGCAUUACCCACACUUUAGGGAAUGGGGAGUUAUGUUCCAUCUCCUUGAAAAGGAAAUAUCUACAAAAAUUAAAAUACAAGCGAUUAUGAAACAUGGUUGCCAGUGAAACUAAUGUAAGCUCAGGCUAUGUUGGCAGAAGGUGUGUAAAAAUGAGAGGGGCUAGUUUCAUUAUACCCUCCAUGUGUCCUGUUACACCUGUAAAUUGUUGUUCGGUUCUGUUGUUCUCAGUAUAGAGGAAUAAUCACAAACUGUAGCACUUCAGAAAGGGCUGGCCACAUUCAUGGUCUGGAAUGAUUAAAUAAACUGGAUAUUUGACCCAGAAAGACUGAGGGUGAACAUUAUAGUUUUUUCCUGUGGUAUGAAAUGUACCCUGUGUUCCAGAAGGCAGA